RNAcentral lists this ribosomal RNA (571 nucleotides) under Salmonella enterica. Its description in RNAcentral is "partial 23S ribosomal RNA". It matches the Rfam family "Bacterial large subunit ribosomal RNA", at positions 711 to 1226 of the family's 2925-position model. RNAcentral also lists the same sequence under 2 other names. Lineage: Bacteria; Pseudomonadati; Pseudomonadota; Gammaproteobacteria; Enterobacterales; Enterobacteriaceae. The record is from RNAcentral.
AGACCCGAAACCCGGUGAUCUAGCCAUGGGCAGGUUGAAGGUUGGGUAACACUAACUGGAGGACCGAACCGACUAAUGUUGAAAAAUUAGCGGAUGACCUGUGGCUGGGGGUGAAAGGCCAAUCAAACCGGGAGAUAGCUGGUUCUCCCCGAAAGCUAUUUAGGUAGCGCCUCGUGAAUUCAUCUCCGGGGGUAGAGCACUGUUUCGGCUAGGGGGCCAUCCCGGCUUACCAACCCGAUGCAAACUGCGAAUACCGGAGAAUGUUAUCACGGGAGACACACGGCGGGUGCUAACGUCCGUCGUGAAGAGGGAAACAACCCAGACCGCCAGCUAAGGUCCCAAAGUCAUGGUUAAGUGGGAAACGAUGUGGGAAGGCCCAGACAGCCAGGAUGUUGGCUUAGAAGCAGCCAUCAUUUAAAGAAAGCGUAAUAGCUCACUGGUCGAGUCGGCCUGCGCGGAAGAUGUAACGGGGCUAAACCAUGCACCGAAGCUGCGGCAGCGAACGUAUCACCCAAGACAACUUUACGGAGUUGACGAUUGACGGAGCGAAGCGACGUCAAAGCGUUCAUUA